Molecule: long non-coding RNA, 1660 nt
Organism: Ixodes scapularis (black-legged tick)
Lineage: Eukaryota; Metazoa; Arthropoda; Arachnida; Ixodida; Ixodidae
Exons: 2
Source: RefSeq, a predicted model, not a curated record
CCGACGCGAAGUAGUAGAGUGAUUUUACCAUUUUACCCUAAUACCCCAUAUGAUUCCUCACCCAUGUCUAGAAUUACGCACUUGUAUAAUAAACUUCAUGAUGUGGAUCUGAACAUAUAUGCACAUACAUAAUUCCUUAUCAACGCUAAAAAGAUUGUAACCUCUAUAUAUACUUUGUUUGUUUUUUAGUGCUGGGCUUUGUUUCGCUUUUAGCAUGCCAUAUACUCAUUCUACAGACCUCUGAUGUUCCUGUAUUUUGUUUGCUCACUUAGCUGCGUUUUUAAGGUGACGAUUACUUUUGUUCAUGUUGCUGUGUUUUCUGUUUGUUUGUUUUUUUAGUGUGAAGCUAAUUUUUUGUUUAUAGUGUACCAAUAACAAGGUCUUUGCAGCUGUUUUUGGACACUAGCACAAAAUAAAGUAUUAUUAUUAUUAUUAUUUCUAGAAAUGUGCCGCUCCAAAUAAUUAAAACAACCCUCACUGUGAAACAUGCCAACAGCAACAUGACAAGAAAUUUCAAUAAAUUGUAUUAAAUUGUAAAUCGUCUUCAUGUAUUAUACAGGGUGUCAUCUAAUCUGGAAAACCUGGGAUUGUCAGGGAAUUUUGAACCAUAUGGAAAAGUCAAGGAAGUUUUAGUAAAGAGCUAAAUCAGGGAAAAUGGCACAUGGAAGUGGUAUGGCGGUGUGCAACGAAACCCAACUGUCGUGCAGCAGCGUGUCUGCACUGAGUAAUGUUGCCAGAAAUGUCACUAGGCAGACCAGGCAACCAUCCAUUAAAAGGGAUGAGCCACUUGGGCUCCAUAAUUUAGCAACUAUGGCGAGCAUAGGACCAAUAGCAGGUCAGAGUUCUUCGGUCGUAUAAGCACUCCUUCGAGAGAAACACCGGUCAGGGAAUUUGAAACAAGUAAUUCGGUAGGCACAUUCAAGCAAAUUCUGAUGUUGUGCACUGCACGUCACAGUUAGCACAGACAAGCAAUGGGCUGUCUUUUUCUUUGUUUCAAUUAUGUAACUGAUACGUGCCAUCAGAAUUGCUAGUGUGGGGGAAAGUGCUAAUUUUGAGCUCCAGCUUAAAGUACUAUUCGGGGCGCAUCAAUAUUCUGUAUGAGCAAAAUGCAAUGAAAAAGUGCUAAUUUCGUGUUCGCACUAGCAGUGUCAUGCAGUGUGCAUGGGGCAGGCCGGGCAAAAUGAAUCGGCACAACCUAUGUCGGUAGUCAUUAACAAAAGGGUGACAUAUCAUUUAAUCUGGUCAGAACACUCAUAUAUUCACCCAUGUCUAUUUGUAGUGGUGGUAGGCUUUCAUAUCUCCCGUGAUCAUUGCACCAGGGUAACGGACUUGGUUAUGAUUUUCAUAUUUUCCCCAUUUACAGAAGCAGUCAGACUGAUAAAAAGCCUGAGUGGUGCAACGCUUGAAGAAAUUGAAGCAGGAGCCAAGGGUUGGCUGAAGAACUGCCGAGCAUGCGUAAAUAGCGCCACAAAAAGGAAGCUUCCACGAGUCUGAGAGUUAAGAAACUUCCAUGAGUCAGCUGGAAACUUCCACAAGUCAUCUGGAUUGCAAGCCAUUAUUUCAUUUCUUAUUGUUCUAAAACUAAUAAGCAGUGCAUUGAAAGCUUCAAUUAUAUUUACGUACGUAUUUUACUAAUAAACAUGUUUUUACAGUUCUUGAA